GAUUCCUACGGGAGGCAGCAGUAGGGAAUCUUCCGCAAUGGACGAAAGUCUGACGGAGCAACGCCGCGUGAGUGAUGAAGGCUUUCGGGUCGUAAAACUCUGUUGUUAGGGAAGAACAAGUGCUAGUUGAAUAAGCUGGCACCUUGACGGUACCCAACCAGAAAGCCACGGCUAACUACGUGCCAGCAGCCGCGGUAAU
Molecule: ribosomal RNA, 199 nt
Filed under: Bacillus sp. enrichment culture DGGE gel band jl-1d-9
Lineage: Bacteria; Bacillati; Bacillota; Bacilli; Caryophanales; Bacillaceae
Description: partial 16S ribosomal RNA
Rfam family: Bacterial small subunit ribosomal RNA
Source: RNAcentral